UACGUAGGUGGCAAGCGUUGUCCGGAAUUAUUGGGCGUAAAGCGCGCGCAGGCGGUCCUUUAAGUCUGAUGUGAAAGCCCACGGCUCAACCGUGGAGGGUCAUUGGAAACUGGGGGACUUGAGUACAGAAGAGAAGAGUGGAAUUCCACGUGUGGCGGUGAAAUGCGUAGAGAUGUGGAGGAACACCAGUGGCGAAGGCGACUCUUUGGUCUGUAACUGACGCUGAGGCGCGAAAGCGUGGGGAGCAAACAGG
RNAcentral lists this ribosomal RNA (253 nucleotides) under uncultured bacterium. Its description in RNAcentral is "partial 16S ribosomal RNA". It matches the Rfam family "Bacterial small subunit ribosomal RNA", at positions 524 to 776 of the family's 1533-position model. The record is from RNAcentral.